CCUCUAUGUCGAUGUCGUCGAUCAUCCAUGGCCACCAGCUUGAGGUUACUGUCGUAGGAUGCAACAUAUUUUCUGGAUCGUAUUGUGUUUCCGUGAGCCAUCCCUUGUAUGUCUGUUUUCAAUAUGCUGGCGAAGCCUACAUUAAAAUAACAAGUCAAGAAGAUGGCGAAAUGAAUACUAUGCUAGUUCAAACAAGUUCGAAUUUCCACUGAUUGAAGGCCAAAGCGAGCUUAAAUUCGUGGUUUGGAAGAAUAUUAAUACUAAUUUCAUUUGUGAUGAUUUUAUGGGUGGUGGCAGGGUUCAGUUUCAUAAUGUCGUUUCAAAACGUUUUGAACAAUCCUCGUGUCCCUUUCAAAAGGGAAAUAAUAGGUAAUUAAUUAAUUAAACAGAUAUAAUAGAUAUAAUUGAUUUUUUUUAAAUUUUCCUUCGCAGAAAUAUUGCUGGUGAAUUAAAACUUCUAUUGCAGUGUACAAAUGCCCCA
Prosopis cineraria is the source of this 481-nucleotide long non-coding RNA. RefSeq lists it as uncharacterized. The record is from RefSeq and is a predicted model, not a curated record. Lineage: Eukaryota; Viridiplantae; Streptophyta; Magnoliopsida; Fabales; Fabaceae. The transcript is spliced from 4 exons.